GGUGGGGUGGAUUAGGAGUUUGCAUAAGAUUAAAUGUACAAACCUUAUUGUUUGGACCCGAUUUUACACUAUCGGCCCAAGUAAUCGAGGCCGUUGGGUAAGCAAUUUUAAAGGAUAGUAUUAUGAUUUUUAUCGUAAUAUUUAUCCGUUAAUAUUAAUUACUUUUGGCAUAUUCUUAUUAUAUUUUCAAGCAAGCAGUACAGUUCAAGUGGGCUAGGAAUUCUUGUUAUCAGAUUGGGAUAACAUGAUGGGUGUGAUUAGAAUUGUCAAGAUGCAUGGUUUUCUUCUAUGCGUGGAAUGCCAAGAUGAAAUCUCUGAUAAUGGAGCCGCUCAUAUCCUAGAUGGGAUAAUUAUUAGCAUAAAAAUAUAUGCUAAUAUAUGCAAAUUGGUGGGCUGACUCCAUCAAAUCCUACGGCCAAGGACCAAUAAGGAUGUGGAGAUUUUGAAUUAAACAAAGUUUUAUUUGGUUGGAUAACUGCAUGAUGACCUCAUGCGAUUAUAUUUGUUUGAUCCCGUCAAACAUGGAUGCUUUUUCAUGGUCUUUUUAAAUCGAUAAUGAUCCAAUUUGAGAUAAGGGCUGAUGGGAGUUUAAUC
RNAcentral lists this long non-coding RNA (594 nucleotides) under Malus domestica (apple). RNAcentral's name for it is "long non-coding RNA (MDOM_LNC013391)". The record is from RNAcentral. Lineage: Eukaryota; Viridiplantae; Streptophyta; Magnoliopsida; Rosales; Rosaceae.